This 286-nucleotide unclassified non-coding RNA is filed under the name uncultured fungus. RNAcentral's name for it is "sequence contains ITS1". The record is from RNAcentral. Lineage: Eukaryota; Fungi.
GUAUAAGUUUUAAAGGGUCAAUGAAGUCCCAAUACAACGACAUUCUUAAACAUACUUGAAAUAGUUUUGUAAAGACAUAGAAGCCUCUGCCAGAUCAACUCACACCAUAAGUCCAAGUUGACCAACAAGAAAGCAUCUACAAAAAGUGCACAGGUGGAUAAUAAAUCGGUCAAGUCGCAAAAAAAAGUGCACAUGUCUUCCAUAGAAAGACCAGCAAAAAACAUUUGUUUGCUCCAAUAACCUUUAUAUCUCAAUAAUGAUCCUUCCGCAGGUUCACCUACGGAAA